This 190-nucleotide ribosomal RNA is filed under the name uncultured Gammaproteobacteria bacterium. RNAcentral's name for it is "partial 16S ribosomal RNA". It matches the Rfam family "Bacterial small subunit ribosomal RNA", at positions 335 to 504 of the family's 1533-position model. Lineage: Bacteria; Pseudomonadati; Pseudomonadota; Gammaproteobacteria. The record is from RNAcentral.
ACUCCUACGGGAGGCANGCAGUGGGNAAUAUUGCACAAUGGGCUGAAAGCNUGAUGCAGCCAUGCCAGCAGUGUGUGAAGAAGGCCUUCGGGUUGUAAAGCACUUUCCAGUUAGUGAGGUAAAGGGUNGUGUAGUUAAUANCUGCUAUUNCUGUGAACGUGUAACNACAGAANAAGCACCGGCUAACUCC